CUAUUACAGGUAGACUCCAGCCGAGCUACUCUGUAGCGAGUGGGCUCUAGACGAACUUCUACAGCGGGACACUACUCCGAGCUCCUACGACAAUUGAACUUCGACCGAGCUCCAACAAUAAGCGGCCCCUUUCGGCCUCCCACGAGAAUCGGACUCCGUCUGAGCUCCCACAGCAGAUGGAUUCCGGACGAGCUUUCGCAACAGACGGGCUCCAGCAGCUGGAUUUCUACAACAGUCGAUCGCCCCU
This 247-nucleotide long non-coding RNA is filed under the name Elaeis guineensis (African oil palm). Its description in RNAcentral is "long non-coding RNA (EGUI_LNC062095)". Lineage: Eukaryota; Viridiplantae; Streptophyta; Magnoliopsida; Arecales; Arecaceae. The record is from RNAcentral.